CAGUCGCCGCGGUAAGACAGAGGUCCCGAGCGUUGUUCGGAUUCAUUGGGCGUAAAGGGUGUGUAGGAGGCUAGGUAAGUCAGGUGUGAAGUCUCACAGCUUAACUGUGAAACUGCGCUUGAUACUGCUUGGCUAGAGGAUCGGAGGGGGUAACGGAAUUCAUGGUGUAGCAGUGAAAUGCGUAGAUAUCAUGAGGAACACCGGUGGCGAAGGCGGUUACCUGGAAGAUUCCUGACUCUGAAACACGAAAGCCAGGGGAGCAAACGGGAUUAGAUACCCCGGUAGUCCCUGUCUCUUAUAC
This 301-nucleotide ribosomal RNA is filed under the name uncultured bacterium. Its description in RNAcentral is "partial 16S ribosomal RNA". It matches the Rfam family "Bacterial small subunit ribosomal RNA", at positions 509 to 807 of the family's 1533-position model. The record is from RNAcentral.